Arachis duranensis is the source of this 457-nucleotide long non-coding RNA. RefSeq lists it as uncharacterized. The record is from RefSeq and is a predicted model, not a curated record. The transcript is spliced from 4 exons. Lineage: Eukaryota; Viridiplantae; Streptophyta; Magnoliopsida; Fabales; Fabaceae.
UGAAAUUCCAAAACUCCAACCCCUUUGUCCAAUCACGGCGAGCAGCUCAACGACAGCGGUCCUCCAUGGCGUUGUGUUUCUCGACGACGCUGGUCCUCCACAGCACUGCGCUUCUCGACGACGUUGGUCCUCCACGACGCUGCGCUUCUCGACGAAUCUGGUCCUCCACGGUGCUGUGCUUCUUGACGAUUCUGCUCCUCUAAAGCGCUACGCUUCUCGAUGAUACUGGCCGAUUCUAUACAUAAAGGAUCGAUCUCAUUCGGCAAAUUCGAAACAGAACCUUUAUCUUGGGAAAGAAGAUGAUGAUUAAAACAAGUGGAUGCAACUCUAUAUUGAUGCAGUUCAAUAAUUGAGUGCAUGUUAAUUUGAAAGAGAAUAAAGAGGAAUCAAAUCAAGCUAAAAUAUUUGUUGCUACUUGGAGUGGACUGAAAGGAAAGGCACCUGAUAUAGAAACUCA